RNAcentral lists this non-coding RNA (53 nucleotides) under unclassified sequences. RNAcentral's name for it is "Mu-gpT-DE RNA". It matches the Rfam family "Mu-gpT-DE RNA". The record is from Rfam by way of RNAcentral.
CCCUGACAGGCGUAAUGUGCGCCUGACUUAACCCACGACAGGAGAUAAAAAUG